Molecule: ribosomal RNA, 745 nt
Filed under: uncultured saccharomyceta
Lineage: Eukaryota; Fungi; Ascomycota
Description: eukaryotic LSU rRNA
Rfam family: 5.8S ribosomal RNA (bases 390-543)
Source: RNAcentral
CUUGGUCAUUUAGAGGAAGUAAAAGUCGUAACAAGGUUUCCUUCACCUAUUGAAGCCUUCAGCAGCGACUGUAAAGAAAUGCGUAGUUUGCUUGCAAGCAAUGCCACUCAAAUGCUGAGACAUAUGAAUCAGCAGCCUUUUAGGCUCACAGAUCAAAUUGUGGUAACCAUUCUUAUGGGCAAGAUAUGACCGGUCUUAACUAGAGUUAGUUAAGAAUCCACGUUCCGUAGGUGAACCUGCGGAAGGAUCAUUAAAGGUUUCGGGUACCCAGUGCCCAAACUUCAACCCUAUGUUUUAACUAUACAUGUUUCUUUGCCGGUUUCGGCCGGCAGAAGUUUUCUCAAACUCCACUAUAAAUGUGUCUUCUGAAUCAAAAUUAAAUAAAUUAAAACUUUCAACAACGGAUCUCUUGGUUCUGGCAUCGAUGAAGAACGCAGCGAAAUGCGAUAAGUAAUGUGAAUUGCAGAAUUCAGUGAAUCAUCGAAUCUUUGAACGCAUAUUGCGCCCUUUGGCAUUCCGAAGGGCAUACCUGUUCGAGCGUCAUUACACCCCUCAAAGAUAACUCUUUGGCGUUGGGCAAUGCCUAAAGGCAUGCCUCAAAAUCAGCGAUGGUGAUAUUCAACCACAGGCGCACAAAUGUCGUCUAGCUGGCGGGAUGUUGUCAGUCAAUUGAUGAAUUUCUAAAUGUUGACCUCGGAUCAGGUAGGAAUACCCGCUGAACUUAAGCAUAUCAAUAAGCGGAGGA